AGUGAGUUUGUGUGUGAGUGUGUGUGUGUGUGUGUGUGUGUGUGUGUGUGUGUGUGUGUGUGUGUGUGUGUGUGUGUGUGUGUGUGUGUGUGUGUGUGUGUGUGUGUGUGUGUGUGUGUGUGUGUGUGUAGCAGAAACCAUUUAGAGAAGAGGCUCAUAAAUUAUUGAAAGGUCUGCUGACUCCCUCUCUCUCUACAUGACGAUACACUUUAAGGUUAAUCUUGCUUGCCCACUCCCCAAUCCUCUCUUUCACUCUCUCUCUCUAUCUCUCUCUAACACACAGUCCUAUCUGCCGUCU
Non-coding RNA from Xyrichtys novacula (pearly razorfish), 298 nucleotides. NCBI's taxonomy places the organism in Eukaryota, Metazoa, Chordata, Actinopteri, Labriformes, Labridae. The record is from the annotation of a GenBank genome assembly.